GCUUACGACCACACCGGCCUGAGUACGCCUGAUCUCGUCUGAUCUCGGAAGCUAAGCAGGGUCGGGCCUGGUUAGUACUUGGAUGGGAGACUGCUGGGAAUACCAGGUGCUGUAAGCU
Molecule: ribosomal RNA, 118 nt
Filed under: Oncorhynchus kisutch (coho salmon)
Lineage: Eukaryota; Metazoa; Chordata; Actinopteri; Salmoniformes; Salmonidae
Source: RNAcentral